Molecule: unclassified non-coding RNA, 413 nt
Filed under: soil metagenome
Description: partial contains 5.8S ribosomal RNA, internal transcribed spacer 2, and large subunit ribosomal RNA
Rfam family: 5.8S ribosomal RNA (bases 1-120)
Source: RNAcentral
GAUGAAGAACGCAGCGAAAUGCGAUAAGUAAUGUGAAUUGCAGAAUUCAGUGAAUCAUCGAAUCUUUGAACGCACCUUGCGCUCUUUGGUAUUCCGAAGAGCAUGCCUGUUUGAGUGUCAUGAAAAUAUCAACCUUGACUUGGGUUUUGUGCUCUAGUCUCGUCUUGGAAUUGGGUGCUUGCCGCUUUUACGAGCGGCUCACCUUAAAUGUAUUAGCUGGAUCUGUCUUUGAGACUUGGUUUGACUUGGCGUAAUAAGUAUUUCGCUAAGGACAUUCUUCGGAGUGGCUUCGUUUCUAGGACGCUUGUCCGCUUUCCAAUACAAGUUCCACCUCGUGGACAUGACUUUUUAUUAUCUGGCCUCAAAUCAGGUAGGACUACCCGCUGAACUUAAGCAUAUCAAUAAGCGGAGGA